Molecule: ribosomal RNA, 499 nt
Filed under: uncultured bacterium
Lineage: Bacteria
Description: partial 16S ribosomal RNA
Rfam family: Bacterial small subunit ribosomal RNA
Source: RNAcentral
GACGAACGCUGGCGGCGUGCCUAAUACAUGCAAGUCGAGCGAAGUUUUUCUGGUGCUUGCACUAGAAAAACUUAGCGGCGAACGGGUGAGUAACACGUAAAGAACCUGCCUCAUAGACUGGGACAACUAUUGGAAACGAUAGCUAAUACCGGAUAACAGUAUUUCUCGCAUGAGAGAUAUUUAAAAGUUGGUUAUGCUAACACUAUGAGAUGGCUUUGCGGUGCAUUAGCUAGUUGGUGGGGUAAAGGCCCACCAAGGCGACGAUGCAUAGCCGACCUGAGAGGGUGAUCGGCCACACUGGGACUGAGACACGGCCCAGACUCCUACGGGAGGCAGCAGUAGGGAAUCUUCCGCAAUGGGCGAAAGCCUGACGGAGCAACGCCGCGUGAGUGAAGAAGGAUUUCGGUUCGUAAAGCUCUGUUGUUAGGGAAGAAUGGAUAUGUAGUAACUAUACAUGUAAGAGGCGGUACCUAACCAGAAAGCCACGGCUAACUACGUG